RNAcentral lists this ribosomal RNA (253 nucleotides) under uncultured bacterium. RNAcentral describes it as "partial 16S ribosomal RNA". It matches the Rfam family "Bacterial small subunit ribosomal RNA", at positions 524 to 776 of the family's 1533-position model. The record is from RNAcentral.
UACAGAGGUCCCGAGCGUUGUUCGGAUUCACUGGGCGUAAAGGGUGCGUAGGCGGUCGGGUAAGUCUGAUGUGAAAUCUCACAGCUUAACUGUGAAACUGCAUUGGAUACUGCUCUGCUUGAGGGUUGGAGAGGAGAUCGGAAUUCACGGUGUAGCAGUGAAAUGCGUAGAUAUCGUGAGGAAGACCAGUGGCGAAGGCGGAUCUCUGGACAAAUCCUGACGCUGAGGCGCGAAGGCUAGGGGAGCAAACGGG